CAGAAACUUUAGAAAACAAGUUGAAAUAUCUACUGUCAGGAAAAUUGAUCAAUGUGAUAAUAUACAUAAUGGAAAAUGCUACAGCUUUGAAAAUGAACAAACUAUAGCUAUAUACAUCAACAUAGGUGAGUUCCCAAACAAUGCUAAAAAAAAUUCAAGUGACAGUAUAAUGUAUAUAGUAUAAUUCCACUUAUAUUAAGUUCCAAAUAGUCAAAAUAGUCAAAAUAUAUUUAGGGACAAAUACCUAAGUGGGAAAACUAUAAGGCAGGAGAAUGAAUAUCACUAAUAUCACUGAUUGCUAAUUAUUUAAGAAUUAAUAUUACUAACCGCUAAUGAACAUCAAAAAUGUAGAUAGCUGUGGGUUGGGAAGAUAUAAUCAGGGAGGAUAAUACAGGGGAUUUUUAAGCUCUCAGUAAUGUUCUAUUUUUUAACCUUUUUGGUUUAUAAUUAUACUGUAAAAUGUACAUAUACAUUUUAUAUGUUCUUAUGUGUGCUUAACAACAUAAAAGUAAAAUGUUUAAAAAGAAAGCUCCCAUGACAUACAGUUAACUGAAAAAAAGCACGUUACAAAACAUGAACACGUACUAUGAUGCCAUUGUGAAAAAAAAUUAAAAACAUUGGUCUAUCUCUAACAUUUUAAAAAA
This 644-nucleotide non-coding RNA is filed under the name Pan troglodytes (chimpanzee). The record is from RNAcentral. Lineage: Eukaryota; Metazoa; Chordata; Mammalia; Primates; Hominidae.